RNAcentral lists this ribosomal RNA (254 nucleotides) under uncultured bacterium. RNAcentral describes it as "partial 16S ribosomal RNA". It matches the Rfam family "Bacterial small subunit ribosomal RNA", at positions 524 to 776 of the family's 1533-position model. The record is from RNAcentral.
UACGUAGGGUGCAAGCGUUGUCCGGAAUUAUUGGGCGUAAAGAGCUCGUAGGCGGUUCGUCGCGUCGGCUGUGAAAACCCGGAGCUCAACUCCGGGCCUGCAGUCGAUACGGGCGGACUCGAGUUCGGCAGGGGAGACGUGGAAUUCCUGGUGUAGCGGUGAAAUGCGCAGAUAUCAGGAGGAACACCGGUGGCGAAGGCGGCACUCUGGGCCGGAACUGACGCUGAGGAGCGAAAGCGUGGGGAGCGAACAGG